Molecule: ribosomal RNA, 253 nt
Filed under: uncultured bacterium
Lineage: Bacteria
Description: partial 16S ribosomal RNA
Rfam family: Bacterial small subunit ribosomal RNA
Source: RNAcentral
UACGGGGGGGGCGAGCGUUGUUCGGAAUUACUGGGCGUAAAGGGUGCGUAGGCGGUGCUCUAAGCCGGAUGUGAAAACUCUGGGCUCAACCCAGAGCCUGCAUCCGAAACUGGAGUGCUAGAGUUCUGGAGGGGGUAGCGGAAUUCCUGGUGUAGCGGUGAAAUGCGUAGAUAUCAGGAGGAACACCGGUAGCGAAGGCGGCUACCUGGACAGAAACUGACGCUGAGGCACGAAAGUUAGGGGAGCAAACAGG